This is a long non-coding RNA of Monopterus albus (swamp eel), 302 nucleotides long. RefSeq lists it as uncharacterized. Lineage: Eukaryota; Metazoa; Chordata; Actinopteri; Synbranchiformes; Synbranchidae. The transcript has 3 exons. The record is from RefSeq and is a predicted model, not a curated record.
UUGCUGCACAGGGGGAACACAAACAAAAACUGGUCACCUACUUUGGUCUGGCAGGGGGCUUAACAAUAAAGGAAACAGUUUGGCGAAUAAUGGCUAAACUGAUGACGAACCAGCUGGCCAAGCAAAUCAACUGGCGUGGAGAACAUGGGAAAUAUGGAUUUGAGCAGCUUGUCCUAAAAGAUGUUGUCCUCAAAUCAGUGCGGCAAAAUUCUGCAACUGCAAGCGCACCAGAUGGAGAAAUUGAAAAGUACAUAAAAAGGUGGUUGCAGCUGGCAUCGGACAGGGAUGGAGGAAGAAGGGAA